CCCUUAGAUGUUCUGGGCCGCACGCGCGCUACACUGAUGCAUUCAACGAGCCUAUCCUUGACCGACAGGUCCGGGUAAUCUUUGAAUCUGCAUCGUGACGGGGAUAGAUUAUUGCAAUUAUUAAUCUUCAACGAGGAAUGCCUAGUAGGCGCAAGUCAUCAGCUUGCGUCGAUUACGUCCCUGCCCUUUGUACACACCGCCCGUCGCUACUACUGAUUGGGUGUUCAAGUGAGAUACUUAGACCCUUGUUGCAUGGUUCAUUAUUGUGCUCCGAAAGGAAAAAGUUUCAAGCUUGAGUGUCUAGAGGAAGUAAAAGUCGUAACA
RNAcentral lists this ribosomal RNA (324 nucleotides) under uncultured eukaryote. Its description in RNAcentral is "partial 18S ribosomal RNA". It matches the Rfam family "Eukaryotic small subunit ribosomal RNA", at positions 1470 to 1796 of the family's 1831-position model. The record is from RNAcentral.